AUGGUCCAAAAAAUAUGGUCUGAAAACUAUAUGUCACAUGAAGGAACAAUGUUACCAAAUUUCUGGAACUGCCAUUAGAAAUACCUAAUAUUACUGAGAAAAUAAUGCCAUUUUCAGUUUUCUUUUGACAGAGCCUUGGGACUUUAAAAGCCAUAAUGCAGAAGAGUUCAUUUUGCUUACCUCCAAUGAUAAAAACUGUAAGAUUGUUUCUUUGGGGAGAUCCACCUGUUAGUACAUAAAAAUGCAUGUCACCUGACAGGGAACCCACAGUGGCACAUAAUGACUUAUGGUGAUGUCAUCACUUCGAGGGAGCAACAUGAUCAGGGCUGGCAGAGUCUGGGGAGCCACUGUGUGAGCCAUGAAGCAGACUCAGUGGACUGUGCACGGACAAGGGCUCAGCCCCGGUGAACCGACACUCCUCGUUCCCAAACCACACGCGCUCCAAAGGCCUCAAACGUUUAAAAAGUGAUUUGUUUUCACUCCCCCCUCAUCUUGCACAGGAAGACAGUAAGAGAAACAAACAUAAAACCUUCAAUUUUCUCCCCAGUUCUUUACAGAUUUAAAUUCGAUGUGGUUCCCAUCAGUGGUAAUAGGCUUGCACCCCAAUGUGGCUGACACUGGGUGAAAAAGCCCUGACCUCUGAGGGAGCUACUUUGACAGUCUGGGCGGAAGCCAUCCUCAAAGUGUUAAAGAAAGCAACUUACAGCCAAAAUUUCAAUUUCACUGCUUUUCUGAUGUAAGUUGGCAAGGGACGUCUGAAGUCGGGUCUGUACCUAACAAGAAAUCAUGUCGGAAUUCAGAACCUGUCAGAUCAAGCCAUUGUUCUUGUCAUUUUAUCUUCUAUCCCAGGAAAUAAUCACAGAUGACAAACCAAAGCCUAGAAGGGAUCCCAAAUAUUAUCCUAGGAAUUGCUCUUAAUGCACCUCAGAAAGAUGUAUGUGUAUCCUAUUAUGAUCUCAGGGGCAAUGAGAUUUCAUAGUUUAUCCUUAUACUUUGUUUAAUAAUCCACGUAGUUGCUUAUUUCUGUAUAAUGUUCAGAUGACGCCCAGGAAAGGCCCAGAGCAGUGGCCCUGCGCCAGGAAGCAGGGAGAUUUCCGUGCCAGGUGAGAUUUGGGAAAAGGGAAGGCGACAGCAGUGAAAACACGGGACUGAAAUAUGGUAGAAAGCUGUGAAAAAUAAGUUGCCACGAAAAUCCUGAGACACGGCAGAGCUUACAAAAAUGAGGUAAUCUGAUCUUUCGUAUCUCAAAUUACGUUUCUGAAAAAUGGCCACUCUCCAGCACUCCCCUCUUCCCAGGCGAGGCUGGCGUCCACCGUGCUCAUCGGCUCCGUCCCUCUCGCUCGCACGCCUAACCUUGCCUCCCAGCCUGUCUCAGUCCUUGAGGGACCACCUCCGUGAGGCAGACACUGAUCUCUGUCUCUCCCAUGUGCCUGCAGUACACUACUAACGCUCACGUUAAAUACAUUUAAUUCCAGUUUUCUUCCGCCUUUGUGGCUCACAUCAGAAAGCCUGGGAAACUCUGCCGCGUACCUGAGUUUCAUACCGCCGCCUAGUGCUGGCUGACAGCUUCUCCGGGGCCACCACGCUCACAGUGGGAACAACUGCUGUGCCGUGGAUUUCAAACAGACCUGGAACAGAGAGAGUUUCAGAAUCCAUGGCCUUAUGUGGUCCUAUGUUCUAUAACACACCACAGAAAUGAUGGGGAUGUAACAGAACCCACUCUGGGGUGGCUCUAUGGACUAGAUUAUGUCUGGGCCUUGUUUCCUCUCUCUGCAACUGCCCACACUUGCCCAGGGAGAACCCAGGACCCCAGCACCCAGCAGUUUUAUGCUUCUGUCAAGACCAACAGCCUUCUCUGCUCAGGUGGGACUGGGAGCUGAGAAAAGCAUAGGGAGGCAACACAAAUCACCAAAACCUCAUGAACCUUAGAAAAAAAUCAAACAUUAUCUCUGAAACUCUAGGACUUCCUGUAAACCCUCAAAGCAUUUGAAACCUGAAGGUGCCAGAGAGUCAGUGCUAACAGAAGUGAACCAAAAAGACCUAAUUCUGCUAAGAACCAAAUAUAUCUUCUCGUGGACGUAAUUUGGGCAUUUCAUUUUCAGUACGAUCAUGUGAUGAAGGUGAAGGCAUAACUAGCGCCAUUGUUCCCGCUUGGCUUUCGUGAAAAUAAAAUGUAUAUAGUGUCUUUCUUCAAGGGAUUUCAAAAUACUUUUCUUCAAUCCUCUGAGUGGGGGAAACUUCCAGCAAUAUGGCCCUCAUUUAAUUAAUCUAUACCAUAAACUAUGUUGAAGUACUUAUUGAAUUUUGAACUGACUGAACUACUUAUGAAAAUAAGACAGUAAAACAAAGAAGAUCAGGAUCAGAAGUCAAAUGCUCAGUUGUAAUUUUCUCAUUUUCUAGGAUGUGAGUUUCAAAACAUGGAUAAAUUUCAUUUGGUACAGUUAAUUGUAUAUAUAUAUUAUUUU
Molecule: long non-coding RNA, 2465 nt
Organism: Phyllostomus discolor (pale spear-nosed bat)
Lineage: Eukaryota; Metazoa; Chordata; Mammalia; Chiroptera; Phyllostomidae
Exons: 2
Source: RefSeq, a predicted model, not a curated record